This 99-nucleotide signal recognition particle RNA is filed under the name Thermodesulfobacteriota bacterium. RNAcentral describes it as "signal recognition particle sRNA small type". It matches the Rfam family "Bacterial small signal recognition particle RNA". Rfam says of the family: The signal recognition particle (SRP) is a universally conserved ribonucleoprotein involved in the co-translational targeting of proteins to membranes. Lineage: Bacteria; Pseudomonadati; Thermodesulfobacteriota. The record is from RNAcentral.
AGCCGGGUCCUGCGCAACGGAAACUUGCGAACCCCGCUAGGUCCGGAAGGAAGCAACGGCAGCAAGAACUUUCGUGUGCCGCAGGGGCGCCUGGCUAUC